RNAcentral lists this ribosomal RNA (1242 nucleotides) under metagenome. RNAcentral describes it as "bacterial LSU rRNA". It matches the Rfam family "Bacterial large subunit ribosomal RNA", at positions 1564 to 2815 of the family's 2925-position model. The record is from RNAcentral.
UGAAUACGAGAUGCUACGGCAUCGAAGCAGUCUAUGUCAUACUUCCAAGAAAAGCUUGCACUGUCAUAAACAAAUAAUGCCUGUACCAUAACCGACACAGGUGGGUAGGUAGAGUAUACUAAGGGGCGCGAGAUAACUCUCUCUAAGGAACUCGGCAAAAUGACUCCGUAACUUCGGGAGAAGGAGUGCCUUAUUUUAUAAGGUUGCAAUAACAAGAUCCAAGCAACUGUUUACCAAAAACACAGGUCUCCGCUAAGUCGUAAGACGAUGUAUGGGGGCUGACGCCUGCCCAGUGCCAGAAGGUUAAAGAAGUUGGUUAGCAUUAGCGAAGCUGAUAACUGAAGCCCUGGUGAACGGCGGCCGUAACUAUAACGGUCCUAAGGUAGCGAAAUUCCUUGUCGGGUAAGUUCCGACCCGCACGAAAGGCGUAAUGAUUUGGAUACUGUCUCGGAGAGGGGCUCGGUGAAAUAGACUUGUCUGUGAAGAUGCGGACUACCUGCACCAGGACAGAAAGACCCUAUGAAGCUUUACUGUAACUUGAGAUUGAAAUUGGACUUUAUUUGCGCAGUAUAGGUGGGAGACGUUGAAGAUAUUCUUGCGGGAAUAUUGGAGUCAUCAGUGAGAUGCCACUCUUAUAAUGUUAGAUUUCUAACUUUGUAUCAUUAUCUGGUCAAAGAACAGCCUCAGGCGGGCAGUUUGACUGGGGCGGUCGCCUCCCAAACGGUAACGGAGGCGCACAAAGGUUUCCUCUGAACGUGUAGAAAUCGUAUCUAGAGUGUAAAGGCAUAAGGAAGCUUGACUGUGAGACCUACAAGUCGAGCAGGGACGAAAGUCGGUCUUGGUGAUCUGACGGUGCUGAGUGGAAAGGCCGUCACUCAACGGAUAAAAGUUACUCUAGGAUAACAGGCUGAUCUCCCCCAAGAGUUCACAUCGACGGGGAGGUUUGGCACCUCGAUGUCGGCUCAUCGCAUCCUGGGGCGGUAGUACGUCCCAAGGGUUGGGCUGUUCGCCCAUGAAAGCGGUACGCGAGCUGGGUUCAGAACGUCGCGAGACAGUUCGGUCCAUAUCCGGUGUAGGCGUUAGAAUAUUGAGAGGAGCCUUCUUUAGUACGAGAGGACCGAGAAGGACAUACCUCUGGUGUACCAGUUAUCGUGCCAACGGUAAACGCUGGGUAGCUAUGUAUGGAGAGGAUAACCGCUGAAAGCAUCUAAGUGGGAAGCCCACCUCAAGAUAAGUAUUCUC